UACGUAGGGUGCGAGCGUUAAUCGGAAUUACUGGGCGUAAAGCGUGCGCAGGCGGCUUCGCAAGUCAGACGUGAAGUCCCCGGGCUUAACCUGGGAAUGGCGUUUGAAACUACGGAGCUGGAGUGUGGCAGAGGGAGGUAGAAUUCCACGUGUAGCGGUGAAAUGCGUAGAUAUGUGGAGGAAUACCGAUGGCGAAGGCAGCCUCCUGGGCCAACACUGACGCUCAUGCACGAAAGCGUGGGGAGCAAACAGG
RNAcentral lists this ribosomal RNA (253 nucleotides) under uncultured bacterium. RNAcentral describes it as "partial 16S ribosomal RNA". It matches the Rfam family "Bacterial small subunit ribosomal RNA", at positions 524 to 776 of the family's 1533-position model. The record is from RNAcentral.